RNAcentral lists this ribosomal RNA (699 nucleotides) under uncultured bacterium. Its description in RNAcentral is "bacterial SSU rRNA". It matches the Rfam family "Bacterial small subunit ribosomal RNA", at positions 8 to 698 of the family's 1533-position model. The record is from RNAcentral.
AGAGUUUGAUCCUGGCUCAGAUUGAACGCUGGCGGCAUGCCUAACGCAUGCAAGUCGAACGGAAACGAUGGGAGCUUGCUCCCAGGCGUCGAGUGGCGGACGGGUGAGUAAUACUUAGGAAUCUACCCAGUAGCGGGGGACAACUCGAGGAAACUCGAGCUAAUACCGCAUACGCCCUACGGGGGAAAGCAGGGGAUCUUCGGACCUUGCACUAUUGGAUGAGCCUAAGUCGGAUUAGCUUGUUGGUGAGGUAAAGGCUCACCAAGGCGACGAUCCGUAGCUGGUCUGAGAGGACGAUCAGCCACACUGGGACUGAGACACGGCCCAGACUCCUACGGGAGGCAGCAGUGGGGAAUAUUGGACAAUGGGGGCAACCCUGAUCCAGCAAUGCCGCGUGUGUGAAGAAGGCCUGCGGGUUGUAAAGCACUUUCAGUAGAGAAGAAAAGCCCACGGCUAAUACCCGUGAGUCUUGACGUUACCUACAGAAGAAGCUCCGGCUAACUCCGUGCCAGCAGCCGCGGUAAUACGGAGGGAGCGAGCGUUAAUCGGAAUUACUGGGCGUAAAGCGCGCGUAGGCGGCUUUGUAAGUCGGAUGUGAAAGCCCUGGGCUCAACCUGGGAAUGGCAUUCGAUACUGCAGAGCUAGAGUAUGGUAGAGGGGAGUGGAAUUUCCGGUGUAGCGGUGAAAUGCGUACAUAUC